UACGGAGGGUGCAAGCGUUGUCCGGAUUUAUUGGGUUUAAAGGGUGCGUAGGUGGGCAGGUAAGUCAGUGGUGAAAUCUCCGGGCUUAACUCGGAAACUGCCGUUGAUACUAUCUGUCUUGAAUAUCGUGGAGGUUAGCGGAAUAUGUCAUGUAGCGGUGAAAUGCUUAGAUAUGACAUAGAACACCCAUUGCGAAGGCAGCUAACUACACGAUCAUUGACACUGAGGCACGAAAGCGUGGGGAGCAAACAGG
This 253-nucleotide ribosomal RNA is filed under the name uncultured bacterium. RNAcentral describes it as "partial 16S ribosomal RNA". It matches the Rfam family "Bacterial small subunit ribosomal RNA", at positions 524 to 776 of the family's 1533-position model. The record is from RNAcentral.